Telopea speciosissima is the source of this 378-nucleotide long non-coding RNA. RefSeq lists it as uncharacterized. The transcript has 3 exons. NCBI's taxonomy places the organism in Eukaryota, Viridiplantae, Streptophyta, Magnoliopsida, Proteales, Proteaceae. The record is from RefSeq and is a predicted model, not a curated record.
AAUGGUAUCAAAAUUCUAGCAAAUGCAGAUGGGCUUCAAUUGCUACAUACCCUUGAGAAUCGUCCAUUUGACACUUCAAGAGUUGCUUCUAGUUCUAUUGUGAAGGCACCUACACUCAACACAUUUGGUCCUACAACAACUGGCACAAAUGUUGGUGUUGUAGAUCGAGGUCCUCCAACAAUGGGAAUAGUUGGACUGAAUGGAGAGAGCCGGGGUUUGUCUGAUGUGAAACCACCCAGAGUUGUAGAGGAUUCUAUAGAGAAGCCUAAGAUUUGGAAGUUGACUGAAAUCAAUGAACAAUCUCAGUGUCGUUCAUUGAGGCUUUCUGAUAGCUUGAUGGCAGCAAAGGUGUAUCUUCUCCAUGUACUAGCUUUUAAA